RNAcentral lists this ribosomal RNA (253 nucleotides) under uncultured bacterium. RNAcentral's name for it is "partial 16S ribosomal RNA". It matches the Rfam family "Bacterial small subunit ribosomal RNA", at positions 524 to 776 of the family's 1533-position model. The record is from RNAcentral.
UACGUAGGGGGCUAGCGUUGUCCGGAUUUAUUGGGCGUAAAGAGCGUGUAGGCGGCCAGAUAGGUCUGCUGUGAAAACUCGAGGCUCAACCUCGAGAUGUCGGCGGAAACCAUUUGGCUAGAGUCCGGUAGGGGAGCACGGAAUUCCUGGUGUAGCGGUGAAAUGCGCAGAUAUCAGGAGGAACACCGGUGGCGAAGGCGGUGGUCUGGGCCGGCACUGACGCUGAGGUGCGAAAGCGUGGGGAGCAAACAGG